AGAGUUUGAUCCUGGCUCAGAACGAACGCUGGCGGCAUGCCUAACACAUGCAAGUCGAACGAGACCUUCGGGUCUAGUGGCGCACGGGUGCGUAACGCGUGGGAAUCUGCCCUUGGGUUCGGAAUAACAGUUGGAAACGACUGCUAAUACCGGAUGAUGACGUAAGUCCAAAGAUUUAUCGCCCAGGGAUGAGCCCGCGUAGGAUUAGCUAGUUGGUGAGGUAAAGGCUCACCAAGGCGACGAUCCUUAGCUGGUCUGAGAGGAUGAUCAGCCACACUGGGACUGAGACACGGCCCAGACUCCUACGGGAGGCAGCAGUGGGGAAUAUUGGACAAUGGGCGAAAGCCUGAUCCAGCAAUGCCGCGUGAGUGAUGAAGGCCUUAAGGUUGUAAAGCUCUUUUACCCGGGAUGAUAAUGACAGUACCGGGAGAAUAAGCCCCGGCUAACUCCGUGCCAGCAGCCGCGGUAACACGGAGGGGGCUAGCGUUGUUCGGAAUUACUGGGCGUAAAGCGCACGUAGGCGGUGAUUCAAGUCAGAGGUGAAAGCCCGGAGCUCAACUCCGGAAUUGCGUUUGAACCUAGAUAACUUGAAUGCCAUGAGAGGUGAGUGGAGUCACUAGUGUACAGGUGACAUUCGUAGAUCUUCGGAGCACCACCGUUGGCUAAAGCUGCCCCCUGUACUGGUU
RNAcentral lists this ribosomal RNA (686 nucleotides) under uncultured bacterium. RNAcentral describes it as "bacterial SSU rRNA". It matches the Rfam family "Bacterial small subunit ribosomal RNA", at positions 8 to 740 of the family's 1533-position model. The record is from RNAcentral.